Molecule: ribosomal RNA, 1000 nt
Filed under: Streptococcus suis
Lineage: Bacteria; Bacillati; Bacillota; Bacilli; Lactobacillales; Streptococcaceae
Description: bacterial SSU rRNA
Rfam family: Bacterial small subunit ribosomal RNA
Source: RNAcentral
AGAGUUUGAUCCUGGCUCAGGACGAACGCUGGCGGCGUGCCUAAUACAUGCAAGUAGAACGCUGAAGUCUGGUGCUUGCACUAGACGGAUGAGUUGCGAACGGGUGAGUAACGCGUAGGUAACCUGCCUCAUAGCGGGGGAUAACUAUUGGAAACGAUAGCUAAUACCGCAUAACAGUAUUUACCGCAUGGUAGAUACUUGAAAGGAGCAAUUGCUUCACUAUGAGAUGGACCUGCGUUGUAUUAGCUAGUUGGUGAGGUAACGGCUCACCAAGGCAUCGAUACAUAGCCGACCUGAGAGGGUGAUCGGCCACACUGGGACUGAGACACGGCCCAGACUCCUACGGGAGGCAGCAGUAGGGAAUCUUCGGCAAUGGGGGCAACCCUGACCGAGCAACGCCGCGUGAGUGAAGAAGGUUUUCGGAUCGUAAAGCUCUGUUGUAAGAGAAGAACUGUGAGAAGAGUGGAAAGUUUCUCACUUGACGGUAUCUUACCAGAAAGGGACGGCUAACUACGUGCCAGCAGCCGCGGUAAUACGUAGGUCCCGAGCGUUGUCCGGAUUUAUUGGGCGUAAAGCGAGCGCAGGCGGUUUGAUAAGUCUGAAGUAAAAGGCUGUGGCUUAACCAUAGUACGCUUUGGAAACUGUCAAACUUGAGUGCAGAAGGGGAGAGUGGAAUUCCAUGUGUAGCGGUGAAAUGCGUAGAUAUAUGGAGGAACACCGGUGGCGAAAGCGGCUCUCUGGUCUGUAACUGACGCUGAGGCUCGAAAGCGUGGGGAGCGAACAGGAUUAGAUACCCUGGUAGUCCACGCCGUAAACGAUGAGUGCUAGGUGUUGGGUCCUUUCCGGGACUCAGUGCCGCAGCUAACGCAUUAAGCACUCCGCCUGGGGAGUACGACCGCAAGGUUGAAACUCAAAGGAAUUGACGGGGGCCCGCACAAGCGGUGGAGCAUGUGGUUUAAUUCGAAGCAACGCGAAGAACCUUACCAGGUCUUGACAUCCC